CAAUAGCGCACAUCAAAAUUUUUGCGGCUAAAAAGCUCGUAGUUGGAUUUCUGCCGAGGACGACCGGUCCGCCCUCUGGGUGAGUAUCUGGCUCGGCCUGGGCGUCUUCUUGGAGAACGUAGCUGCAGCGUGGAAUAAUAAGAUAGGACAUUGGUUCUAUUUCGUUGGCUUCUACAGCUGAGGUAAUGAUUAAUCGGGGUAGUUGGGGGCAUUCGUAUUUAACUGUCAGAGGAAAGAUUCUUGGAUUUGUGAAAGACGGACUACUGCGAAAGCAUGUGCCAAUGAUGUUUUCAUUCA
Molecule: ribosomal RNA, 297 nt
Filed under: uncultured eukaryote
Lineage: Eukaryota
Description: partial 18S ribosomal RNA
Rfam family: Eukaryotic small subunit ribosomal RNA
Source: RNAcentral